GACGAACGCUGGCGGCGUGCUUAACACAUGCAAGUCGAACGGAAAGGCCCUUCGGGGUACUCGAGUGGCGAACGGGUGAGUAACACGUGGGUGAUCUGCCCUGCACUUUGGGAUAAGCCUGGGAAACUGGGUCUAAUACCGAAUAGGACCACGCGCUUCAUGGUGUGUGGUGGAAAGCUUUUGCGGUGUGGGAUGGGCCCGCGGCCUAUCAGCUUGUUGGUGGGGUAAUGGCCUACCAAGGCGACGACGGGUAGCCGGCCUGAGAGGGUGACCGGCCACACUGGGACUGAGAUACGGCCCAGACUCCUACGGGAGGCAGCAGUGGGGAAUAUUGCACAAUGGGCGCAAGCCUGAUGCAGCGACGCCGCGUGAGGGAUGACGGCCUUCGGGUUGUAAACCUCUUUCACCAUGGACGAAGCGUAAGUGACGGUACCUGGAGAAGAAGCACCGGCCAACUACGUG
RNAcentral lists this ribosomal RNA (462 nucleotides) under uncultured bacterium. Its description in RNAcentral is "partial 16S ribosomal RNA". It matches the Rfam family "Bacterial small subunit ribosomal RNA", at positions 28 to 507 of the family's 1533-position model. The record is from RNAcentral.